GUGGAAGUCACCUCGAGUAUCUCGGGGCUUGGUGACCUUUAAUGUUCCUGCUCUUCUGCCACCACCAAUCAGAAUAUUUGAGGGCUGCUGGGCAUGGUGGAGCAUGCCUGUCCGUCCCAGCACUUGGCAGGCUGAGGCAGGAUCGGUCCGUGAGUUCCAGGCCAGUCUGGACUACCUAUCUGCAGAUGGUUCCUUCUACCUAUUGACUGGUAGAAGUAAGCGCUACCGAGGGGAAGAGGUACCCAGGGAGUGAGACAUGGCCCUCCUCGUCCUGAGAUCCUGGAGCUCUUCAGUUUUCAGUCCUCACACCAGCCCUUCCAGCUCAGAAAAUACAGGCACCAUAUUUACAGCUUCCGCGGAGCCCUCCUUUCUUCAAAUUCCUCCAAGCACUCAACAGUGUCAAGUGUCAGAAGCAUUAAACUUG
This 424-nucleotide long non-coding RNA is filed under the name Heterocephalus glaber (naked mole-rat). RNAcentral describes it as "lncRNA (ENSHGLG00100051216.1)". The record is from RNAcentral. Lineage: Eukaryota; Metazoa; Chordata; Mammalia; Rodentia; Bathyergidae.